RNAcentral lists this long non-coding RNA (243 nucleotides) under Rattus norvegicus (Norway rat). Its description in RNAcentral is "long non-coding RNA NONRATT031366". The record is from RNAcentral. Lineage: Eukaryota; Metazoa; Chordata; Mammalia; Rodentia; Muridae.
GACAAAACCUUCCAGUACCAUGUUCUCCGUGCUUGGCUUGCCAGAGAGCCCUUCAUGGGAUCUAACAAAUAACAUAUGUAUAUAUGUAAACAGGUGUUCACGUGGGUGCGGUGUAACCUGAAGGAAAGAGAACAAGAAAGGCUAAAAAUAAGAGACCUCAGGAACACUGCGUGCAGGCAGUGCCAGCCCCGGUGAAAGCCGAGGUGGGAGAAAUUGGAAGUCGCUGCGGGAGGCCACUUGACU